CUGGCUCAGGAUGAACGCUGGCGGCGUGCUUAACACAUGCAAGUCGAACGGAGUUUUAACGGAAGUUUCGGAUGGAAGUUAAGAACUAGUGGCGGACGGGUGAGUAACGCGUGGGUAACCUGCCUCAUACAGGGGGAUAACAGUUAGAAAUGACUGCUAACACCGCAUAAUAUAGCGAAACCGCAUGAUUUUGCUAUCAAAUAUUUAUAGGUAUGAGAUGGGCCCGCGUCUGAUUAGCUAGUUGGUGGGGUAAAAGCCUACCAAGGCGACGAUCAGUAGCCGGCUUGAGAGAGUGACCGGCCACAUUGGGACUGAGACACGGCCCAAACUCCUACGGGAGGCAGCAGUGGGGAAUAUUGGACAAUGGGGGAAACCCUGAUCCAGCGAACCGCCGCGUGAGUGAAGAAGUAUUUCGGUAUGUAAAGCUCUAUCAGCAGGGAAGAUAAUGACAGUACCUGACUAAGAAGCCCCGGCUAACUACGUGCCAGCCGCAGC
RNAcentral lists this ribosomal RNA (495 nucleotides) under uncultured bacterium. Its description in RNAcentral is "bacterial SSU rRNA". It matches the Rfam family "Bacterial small subunit ribosomal RNA", at positions 19 to 518 of the family's 1533-position model. The record is from RNAcentral.